UUUGUCACUGUGAGCAGUGCUGAAAUGCAUUUUGGCAGUGGCACAAAACUUACAGUAAUUGGGAAGAAUGAUGAAAUCAUCCCUCCAGCUGUGGCCAUCUUUUCCCCAUCAAAGCAGGAGAUCCAGCAGAAGAGCAAGGCCACGCUGGUGUGCCUGGCCUCUGGUUUCUACCCUGACCACCUGACUCUGGUGUGGAGGGUGAAUGGUGUGAAAAGGACCGAAGGGGUGGGCACAGACGAGUCCUCCACCCAGAAUGGGAGCACCUACUCCCUGACCAGCCGACUGAGGAUGCCAGCCUGGGAGUGGUUCAACCCUCUGAAUCGCUUCGAGUGUGUUGCCAGUUUUUUUCAGAAUGGAACAACAGCAUCAAUUAACAAAUUUAUCCAUGGUGAUGCUGGUUGUGCACUCACAGAAGAGUCGUACUUGCGGUAUGGAAAUUCCCUGAAACUCACUUACCUCAUCCUCUGUGGCAAAGCCUUGGUCUAUGCAGUUUUGGUGAGUGGUCUGGUGUGGACAGCCAAGACUGGUGUCAAGUUAUCUAGAGAAUAAAUGAAGAGCCCUUGUCAUCACAUCAGCAGGAACAUGACAAGUUCGCUACAUUUCCACUGCAAAAAAUCUGUUCUUCCACAAACUUCUGAAUAUAAUUUUUUUGUCAUUAUCUGUUGCCACUCUGAUCUGCACUAUUUUGUAAUCUCUGCUGAGCUUUCCCUGUAUUUCCAUAUCAUAUUUAAUGUAUCAUAUUUCAUUGUAAGACAUCUUUAAACGUAGCACCUUCUCAAUCCACAUAGGCUGAGAACUCAUCUCCUUGAUUUAGGAAUAAAGGUUUUGCUUAUUUUCCUUUGAAAAGCAUGAGUAGUUGUAUUUAAAUUUGGUCUUCUGUAGUGAUAAUGUCCUACCACACAACUUUCAAUGAUGAAUAGAGCCAUGAGGAACUCUCAUUAAAGAUCAUUCACUGACAA
This is a non-coding RNA of Haemorhous mexicanus (house finch), 959 nucleotides long. Lineage: Eukaryota; Metazoa; Chordata; Aves; Passeriformes; Fringillidae. The record is from the annotation of a RefSeq genome assembly.